Molecule: long non-coding RNA, 332 nt
Organism: Vidua chalybeata
Lineage: Eukaryota; Metazoa; Chordata; Aves; Passeriformes; Viduidae
Exons: 3
Source: RefSeq, a predicted model, not a curated record
GAAAAAGUAAACAGAAAAGAUAUAAAGGCAGAAGAUACCAUGGUCUUGAGGAAAUGGAGACUAUUCAAAAAUGCUCUUGAACUUCGGGUGCUGUAACUGGUAGGCACCUUGAGAACCAGAGUGUUUUAUUUCAUGGCCAAAUAAAUCUCUAGUUUGACAAUUUUGGCCAACACCUCCUAAAACGAUUAACAGUGAAGAAAAGGAAGGAAGACAGUUAUUGGAGAACUACAUCAACUGUACUUUUGAGGCAGAAAGAAACUGAAAAUAGUUCAUGAAUGAAUGACUGCACUACUUCCACUGUGAAACUGCAAUACAACCUUCAAUUAUAUUAC